Molecule: long non-coding RNA, 567 nt
Organism: Amphimedon queenslandica
Lineage: Eukaryota; Metazoa; Porifera; Demospongiae; Haplosclerida; Niphatidae
Exons: 3
Source: RefSeq, a predicted model, not a curated record
UUGUUUAUUAAUAAACUUAAUAUGUAUAUGAAAUAAUUACACAAAGUGUAAUCUGUUUUCAAUAGUUUUAUAAUAAGGUAAAGAAGAACAAGUUUGUUUAUGUUUCUUGUCUAGAUAUAGUCUCCUUAGUGUUUUAUUGGUCCUGAGAGAUUCCAUCAGUACCAGUACUCCAUCAGUAUCAAUGUUAGUAUAUUGGAGCCAAAGGAGAGAUAGUGUGUGGUUGUGGAGUAAAAGUUCAGCUAGUGACUGAGCACUGGUUGAAGUGAUGUCAGGAUUGUUAUAAAGAAAUAAGCCAGUAAUUGUUUUAUUAUUAAUUAAUGAUUGUGUUAGUGCAAUGACUCCAUCAUCAUUGAUGGAAUCAGGACUGAUCGAUAGUGCCUCUAAUGAAGUGAUGAGUGAUGGAGGGAAAUGGUUUGAUGACUGUCCGUUAAUUGACUGAUCACUUCCUGACAUUGACCUGCUGAUGGUUUAGUGAGGGUUACAUAACUACUGCCCCACUCCACCUUUCCAGUCUCUUCUCCUAAUAAUAAACACAGUGAUGCUGGUUUUUGUACCAGUGAGUGCAUU